CAAAAUUAAAUAAAGGCAAAUCACAAAAAUACCUAACAAAUAGAGGAUAGGAGAUAUUAAAAAAAAUCAUAGGUUAGGUGGGAUAUUUAGCAAACUAAUAAUAAGAAACUAAAUUGUUAAUAAAAAUGAAGAACCAUUUGAAUAUUUGGAUAUUUCUAUGUUCUUCUAAAAAUGAAUUACUAUGCACAAUGUGCUUAGGAGUUGCCAUCAACGAUAAACCAACAUACCAUUCCCUUAUCAUAUGAUUUGCACAUGAUAGAGUUCCAAAUUGAGGUCCUAGUUUUUAAUGAGGGGGAAUGAUGUCUAACGGAUUUUCGGAGUGUAGCCUUCAUAUCUAAUAUGACCUAUUACAUGCACAUUAUCGUUAGUCAUGUCUUUCCAUAUUCGUAUCAUGGCUAUUGUCGUUGGAAUUUGUUUAUGACCUUAGAAUCUAAGGGUAAAAGAAUUGAGUGGUAGAAGUUUUGUUUUCGUAGACAUGUUAUGUGUAUGCAAUGUCUGAUAUCAAAGAAAAUUUAGCUAAGCUAUAACGUGUAAUUCUGACACAACGUGAUAGGCGAGACAAUAUUGGUCAUGAUAAAUAGGCAAGAGCGUUCUUAUGUAACAUUUCUUUUAAUAUAACGACACUUAAUAUUCUUAGUAUCUGUUGGGUUUUUAUUCAAAAACUAGAUUCAAAAACAUAAUAUUUGACAACAGAAGACUUGAUGUAACAACGUAAAAUUUCCAAUUUAAUUUUUCAUUUUCAAACCACAAAAUGUAUAACAUAUCAAAAUCUCAAAUCCAUAACAACAGUGUUUUCAAAACAAAUCUCAAGAUCUCUCUAACAUGAACUCCAUCGGUGUGGGUGUGUACAAGUCAAGCCUUCGCCUUCCCACGGUCCUCGCUGGUACCUGAGACAUCAAACACAACAACUGUAAGCAUAAAUGCUUAGUGAGUUCCCUAAAAUACCACAUAUCACAAUUACGCCACUCAAGGCUAAACCCGACCCUCCGGUCAAGAUGUCUCAGCGGGGCCCUCCAGUCUCGCAGCUCGUCGGACCCUCCGGUCCAGUCAUAGCUCGUUGGGCCCUCCGGCCCGGUCAGAAUCGUUGGACCCUCCAGCCCGGUCUAUAUAACCAUACAGCAUACAAAUAACACAUAGCAUGAAAUCUCUAAGACAACACAUAAACUCAUACAUAGCACAUGAGACCCUCUGGUCAACUCGAAAUACCUACUCAAGGUAAUGAAUAGUGAGAAGACUCACCUCGCGUAUCUCGGUAACUCGUAAAUCUCGUAACUAUUAGUGCUCGAUCUCCUAAGCUAUCGUCCUCCUACAACACAAGCAUAUCUCUACUUAAUACCACCUUGACCCAGGCUGACUAACACUAUGAAGUCAAACUAGUCAACUCUGGUCAACGGUCAACGGUCAACGGUUGACCCAACUCGCCGAGUCCCUACGGGAACCCGAUCCCUCUGAAUCUCUUCCGACUCACCGAGUCACUCACCCGACUCGGUUACUCAGUCCCUGGUUCGUAAUCACUAAACAACCCGCACCAACUCGCCGAGUCUGGGAUUGGACUCGGCGAGUGCAUUCCAUGCACAACCCCAAUCGACCUUUUGAGGUCAGAUCCACUCUACUAACUCAUAGAUCCAGUCCCCUUAAGCUUAUUGACCACGUAAAGUCCAAGUCUUGGUGCUCAUUAAGCAUCAAAUAGCUCAUUAAUGGUGUUUUAGCCUCAAAUACAUUGAUCCCAACCCAAAACCUCCAUGGAUGCAUAUAAAGCUUGGGCAAAGAGGUGCUCUAGACCUCUAUGGGUCUAGAUUCAGAGCCAUAACUCGCCAAGGGACCAUGAGGAUACUAGAUCUAGCCACAAAUGGGUUCAAAAGCCCUAAAUCUAUAUGAACAUCACAAUAACAAGGAAGAAUUCGAAAUGGUACCUCAGUUGUGAUGUCCUGGACCUUAGUUCUUCAAGAAUCCACCCCUCUCUUGCUUCCUCUUGGCUAGAUCUCCUCUUCCCUUGCUAGACAAUAACUCCAAGAUCAACAAUGGCUCCUUCCCUCACUUGAAUCACUCAAAUGCUCUAGGAUUUCACUCUGGGGACUGAUGAGUGCAAAUGACGGCCAUAAGGCCCUUUAAAUAGGCCUCAAACCCGAGAAAUUAGGGUUUCAUUAAACAACGAAGACUCGCGCGAGUCCACCAAGGCGACUCGCCGAGUCGGGGCAUCAAUCCGGGUGAAAAAUCGCGUCUCAACUCGGCGAGUCUACGCACCAACUCGCCGAGUCCUUCCACAAAACUCAAAAUAAAAAAGAAUAAUUAAUAUACCUGAAAUCCCGAAUGUUACAAUUCUCCCCCACUAGAAUCCGACUUCGCCCUCGAAGUCUCAUUCCUGAAAUAGCUCUGGAUGCUGCUCCCGCAUCUCCCGCUCCGAUUCCCAGGUCAACUCGGAUCCCUUCCGAUGCUGCCACUGAACCUGUACCAGAGGCACUUCCUUGUUCCUCAGAACNCUUCCGAUCCAUAAUCGCAACCAGUCUCUCCGCGUAGUUCAAGCUCGCAUCCACCUAAAUGUCCUCUAACGGCACCACUGCCGACUCGUCGACAAUAGAUUUCCUCAACUACGAGACAUGAAAGGUAUCAUGGAUCUUCCCCAACUCAGCAGGUAGAACCAAUCGAAAUCAUGGAUUGAGAGGUCAAACGAACGAAACAAAGUCGCAUCCCGAUAGUGAAGGUUCGCUGGAAUGCUAAGCGGGGACCCGAAUUCACUUGGGAGCGCGAGGAUUCAAUGAAACAGAAGUACCCUCAUCUUUUUCCAAAUCCAUGAAUUGUAUCCACAUUUCUGAAUUUCGGGAUGAAAUUCCCUCUAACGGGGGGAUGAUGUGACAACUCGAAACUUUUAUCAUGUGCAAUUGAUUCGUAUAUCAAUAUUUAUCUCGAACUUAUCAUCUCUUAGCGAAAUUUUGGGUCCGUAUGAGUGCUUUAGGCUUGGAAUAUCAUAGAUAUGAGUCUUAAGAAGGGUUAGAAAGUGUGUAGCAUCGCAAAAUCGGGCCAAACACACCAAGGAAGGUGUGUGCGGCCAGCCAGCUGCACAGCCCAGCUGUACACACCUUCUAGCCUCACACCUGACCCUAUGUGUUGGAGGAGACCCCCCUUCAUUCAUUCUUCCCCUCUUUUGGCUGCACAUUACUUUCUCUCUCUACAAACUUCAUCCAAGAACAUCAUUAAGGACUCAAAAACGUGAACUACUUCAUCAUCCAGCUUGUUAUAGUGGUAAGACACUUGAAUCUAAGCCUAAAACCCAUAGUGUUCUUCAUGUUCUUCAUCCUUUGAAGGAGUGCAGCUGCACACCUUCAUAAGGUGGCCGCACACACUCAAAUACCCUACAAAGUGAGAGUAUGGCCCCUAUAUUCGAAUUAAAACAUGGUUUGGAACUUGAAAUACCUCAAAAUCGACAUUUCGGGAUCAAACAAGGAGUGUACGACCGCACACACCCUCUGUACAACUGCACAUUCCUGUGUGCAUCCGCACACACAAGUCUGACCACACUCCCUGGCCACACACUCACCUUUAUGGCCAUACACCCACUCUAAUGCUCAUAUGUGGCCUUAAACUUACAAGGAUCACUACGUGUGGAACAUAGAACACUUAGUUCAAACAAUUCUAAGACCUUAGGAUGGUUUCCCGUCAUGAUUAGUCAUGAAAUACCCUAAUCUAAUACAUAUAUCUGUUACCAUAUGAUUAAUAGGGUCCAUUUGCGUUCAGAACAUCUGUUGACACACCGCAUUCAUAUCGAUCGUAUACGCGCAUCCUACGUUAAACAGUGAGUUCAUACCCCUACACUUUUCCGAGUUUUUCAUGUUUUCAGGGGGGAAUACAAGCUAAACAUAAAGGUUUUCAUAACUUAAAAACUGAGGCAAUUAUAAUGAUUUCCUAUCAAACGUUUAGAUACAAUUAUCCCUCUUGUAUUAUGCGGAGCAUAAGGGAUGCUUUCAAUUCAUAAUUGCAUAAUUUUCAAAACCAUAUCCGAACGUAACAACCAUUCAAACUAUAAUAGGUAUAGUUUGGGAUUUCAUUACAAGUCAUACAGAUUCAACUUCAUGCAAAGUCAAACAUAUAAACUAUGUCAGAUUUAGUUGAUCCAUUACUACGAAUACAAAACUAGAGUAUCAUGCUAAAUAAUUAUUUUUUGUAUAAUUAUUUAUACUCUAUACCGUUACAAACAAAUUCGAACUCAAGAACAACCGAACAAACACGUAAACUAGUUAAUACAUGAUUGUGAGACUAUCUUCGUUUUACCCCUCGGGGUACCAAUAAAUCCUCAUCGGUAGUAUAACCAGAGUCUCCUGGAGGGAGAGCGUGAAAUUUAUGAAUAGAUCUAUUUGGGACCGACAAUCCCACACCUGAACUGUUAGCUACAGUUAGGCGGGCACGCCUGGGGUGACAAAUUUUGAAAUCGUGCGACGCCUGAAGAACGUCAAGGAGGUCAUCAGUCAUAUUAGCAUGGUUAUAAGACUCACAAUAAGUAUAAACUAAUCAUUGUUUACAUGAUUUCUUUCUUCUAUAGUUUUAUUUUAAGUAAUAAAAACUACUAUACAUACUGGUGGUACAGGGUUUUCCGAACGAUCAUAUAUUCCAUACUGGUGGUAACCAGGAUUUUCAAACAGAACAUACCUGUCAUUCAAAAACCAACAAACAUGUUAGAAAAUAUUGGAUUUUCUUGGUAAGCAUGCGUACAUAUUUCAGAACUUGUUAACAACGGUUUUCGAUACAAACGGUAUUUACCUAUAAUGGAAAGAAACUAUUUAUACUUUCCAAUACAAAAACAUGCUUAUGAACUCACCAGCUUUAUGCUGAUAUGUUUUUCAAAACCGCUUGUAUUCUCAAAACAACGAUAGACAGGCACUUAACCAACUUUUGGAGAAGACGGGGCAUUUUUGGAGUCUCGUCUUUAUCUUUUGUUAUAUAAUACUAUGUACCUACUUUGUUUUCAAACAGAUGUAAAUAUUCAUAUUGUAAUGUAAUGGUUGUGUUUACUAUGCUUGCUAUGAUACGAUUGUUGUGAUACUACGUAUGACGUCGCCGCCCCCGGACGUUUCCGCCGUUGUUUUCCCGACGGUUCGGGGGUGUGACAUUUUAUUUUUGACAUUAUGUGUUAUCUUUUUAUGUGUCAGCUGUUGACGUUAUGUAAUUGACAUUUUAUAUUAUGUGUUAUUGUUUUUCAUUGUGAAUCGACAUUUUAUAUUAUGUGUUAUAAUUUGUCGUUAUGUAAUUGACAUUUUAUAUUAUUUGUUAUUGUUUGACAAUAUUAUUUUGAAUUAUGUAGGAUGGAUAGUGAUAACUCUAAUUCAUCUGACGAUAAUGAGGAAUGUUGGGUGAAAGAGGAUAGAGAAUUCGAAAUGUUAUGUGGGCUAGCUCUGAAAAGGAUAAUACUAGCUUGUAACAUACGUAGGUCAUGUCACACUUCAGACCGCACAGGGAACAUAUUUAUUAAUGAAGUAUUAAAUGGUCAUCCUAGAUGAUGUUAUGAGAUGUUUAGACUGCAUGUACUAGUUUUUAGAUAAUUAUGCAUAGAUCUUGCUACAAAUUACAGACUAUAACAAACACAAAAUAUAUUUAUUGAUGAGUCGGUAGUAAUGUUCUUGAUGACUUUGGCCCAUGGAUGUAGCAAUAGAUUUGUGCAAGAAUUUUUUGAUCAUUUCAGGGAAAUGAUUCAUAGGCAUUUCCAUAUAGUUUUGGCAGCCGUGCUUAAGAUGAGUGCCGUUAAGAUGAGUGCCGGCAUCAUCAGGCCAACCACCAACUAUAAUGAUGAAGUUCCCAAAUAUAUAUUAAACAAUCCUUAGUAUUAUCCAAUGUUCAAGGUAUUAUCUAAUGUUCCGUUACUUCACCAAAUGAUUUAUUUAUGAUAUCUUUUUGUAUUUGUAGGAUUGCAUUGACGCUAUAGAUGAGACACACGUGGGCAUUAGUUCGACAGCAUGAGGAAGCGAAAUACAUUGGUUGAAAGGGAUAUGGAACACAAAAUAUAAUGAUUGUUUGUGAUUUUAACAUAUGUUUUACAUUUGUGUGGGCCGGAUGGGAGGGAACUGCACAUGGCACAAGAAUUUUCAAUGAAGCCUUACAUAGACCGGAUCUUCAUUUUCCAUUUCCAACAGGUAGUUAGUAUAAAUUUUUAGUUACACGAGUUUUAUGUUUUUAAUACUUGUUUGAAACGGAUAACAAAUAUUUGUUUUCUUUACAGAUAAAUAUUACGUUAUUGAUGUCAGAUACCCAAAUACCAGAGGGUAUCUUGCUCCCUAUAAAGGAACUAAUAUUCGUUAUCAUAUAUCGGAUUUUCGACGUGGACAUACUGCUGCUAUGCGUGAACCUCGUGGACCGAAAGAGAAAUUUAACUAUUACCAUUCAUCAUUGUGAAAUACCAUUGAGCAGACUUUUAGAAUGUGGAAAGCUAGGUGAGCGUUAUUAAGAGACAUCCAUAACUAUAUUAGAAAUGCUGAUAGGUUUGAUGAAACAUUUAAUAGGGCACAACAAAAAUCCUACAAUCUCACACACAAUCGUACUAGUAGUAAAGGUGACGAAGAAGGUCCAAGUACACAUCGCAUGAGUAAUGAUAACUCGUAUAUGACAACGAUACGAGAUAUUAUUGCACAAGAUAUAAUGGAAUUCCGGAGAUGAAUGUAAUUUGAUGUAACAUAUGAUAUUUUUUAUGAAUUAUUUAGAAUUUUUAUUCUACUUUUGUAUGAACAUAAUUUUAAUAUUAUCAAUGGUAAAAAUGUUUUAAAAAAAUUAUAUUAUGUAUUUUGUAAAAAAAAAAGUUUAAAAAAAACAAAAAUUUUGUGUAAUAAAAUUGUUGACUAUAAAAUAUUAUAUGUAAACUAGUAAAUCAUUCUAGAUACGAAUCCAUAUCCUUUUUAGUCAUUUUACAGGUAAAAACUAUGCCAAAUACAUUUAAAAAAAAUAACUUAUUGAUUUUUUAGCUUUUGUCAUCCUAAAAGCUAAUCUAAAUACUUUUUUAAAGCUGUUUUUAGAAAAAACCAUAAACCAAUAAUCACUUUCUAAAAAAAAAAAAAAACACUUUGAAGUACAAAAAAACACUCUUAGUCUAAACAACCCCACAUUACACUUCAUUGUUAUUUUAGCCAUUAGUGAAAAUUUUGUGCAAAACAUAUAAAGUUAGAUGACCCUUAACCUUUUUUUAGUUCGACAGCCUAUUCAUAAUUUACAAACUUUCAUAACCUUAUUCAUCUUUCCCAAAAGAAUUAAUAUCUCAUAAAAAAAUUGUUCAUUGAUUUCUUGUGUUUACAUAUGUAAAUAUCAUUCACUAUAUUUACCACACAUUAUUUUUUAACCUUUUAUAAAAACUUGCUACAUCAGCUAGCAACAAAGACGUUUAAUGAAACCAAUAUCUUCCGUUACAAUAAUAUUAUUAUAUUGAUUCCUCACCAACUUCUAGAACAAGUUUAAGGUGAAACAUGCGAAGUGCUUGCCACCCUCCACAUCUCUCCUUUCUUGAAAUCAAAAAAACGCCCACAAAACCAGUGAUCGAUCGAGUUGUACAUUUGUCCUCUUUCCUCCCUCUCGAAUCCCUCCUGUCAUUAAUCACAUAAUGACGACAUUAAUUUGUCAUUGUAUCAACAAACCAUAAAUUUCUGCCAUUAAUGCAACCUUUCCAUCUCUAAAAAUCUUGAAUUUAUAUGAUAUUUCGUGCAAAUCGGUUUUAAACUUAUGGCAGAGAUGCAGGCUAUACAUUUGCUGUUAUUUGGUCAGUUUUUAGCUCAAUUGAUCAUGAUUCAUGCGAAAGUAUCAUCGAUUAUUGUAUUUGGAGACUCUACUGUUGAUGCUGGGAACAAUAACCACGUGGCAACAGUUCUGAGAAGCAACUUUCAACCUUAUGGUCGUGAUUUCUAUGGCAGCCGGCCCACUGGCCGGUUUUGUAACGGUCGGAUUGCUACUGAUUUCAUAUCGGAGGCUUUUGGGAUCCGGUCUAUUGUGCCGGCUUAUUUGGAUCCGAAUUAUAAUAUGGUAGAUUUUGCAAAAGGGGUCAGCUUUGCUUCUGCUGGAACAGGUUAUGAUAAUCUUACUGCUGCAAUACUUGUAAGUUUUCAACUUUUUUGUUGCUUAAUUUGUUCAAUUUCUUAUGUCUAACGGGUCAAGUGGGCAAAGUUGGCUUGCUAUGGGUCGGGUUCAAUCGGAUUUUGCCUAAAAUUUAAAUUAAACCAUAAUAAUUUGGUUUUUGAGCCCCAAGAACCGUUUGAGUUUGGUGUUUUAUAGUUUUGGUUGUUGGUUUUGUUUUGGAUUAAUAGUUUUUGGUAACUAAAAUCGCUUCUUGAAACCGUUCAUGGAUUUCGAUGGAAGGGGAUCUAUUAAAUUCGAUGUUUGGUGAGCACAAAUCUAAUGUGGUUCCUCUUUUAAUAAAAGACCAAAAUAGUCUUAUUAUAUAUUUAUUAAAUUAAUAAAACUAAAACUAAAACUAUAUAUAUUUACAAUAAAUAAAAAUUCAUCGCCUUAAUUUUUAUUAGGGUGGACGGAACCGUGUGAAAUGGCCUUUGGGUUGGUAUGGUGACUCGAUGGUAUCGCGAGGAACACCAUCACAACUAUUGUGGUAUCAAAAAAUGGAGAGAGUUUUAGCCUUGAAGCACCCAAACAUCUUUUUGGUUAUCUACUUUUGUGACCGUUAAUAAACAAUAAAAACAUAUGUUUUACACAAUUUAUUACCCGUAUAUAUUACCAUCAACCACUUCAGAAACCACAUCAACCUUAACAACUCUCUUCAAUUUCAUUUUAAUUCUCUCCGAUUCAAUUAAAACAAUUCUUUAUUUCAUUCCGAUCUUUAAUAUUCCAUUCAAAUGGAUUUUACCAAUGGCAAAUCCAAAAAAAAAACAUGUUAUAAGUGAAAGAAAAAGUCGUGGUAGAAGAAGGAGUUCGCUAAAUUUUCCAAAUUUGAUUCUUGAAACUCAAAUUCCGCACUAUCCUCACUACCAACAAUAUCUACCCAAAUAUUGUUAAUGUCCUAUACGACAUUCAUAUAAUCAAAUUUAAGUAUCUCAAGAUCAACCUUACAAUCACACAAUCACUAUAGCUUGCAGCGGCUGAAGACUGAUACAAUAACCAUCUAAACGUAUAACUCAAGGUCAACCAUAACCUAAGACCUAAAACCAUAAACCCAAAGUCAAACUUAGUCAAAAGUCAAUAAAAUAUCAUAUUCCGGUCAAAAAACGCACCACCCCCCAUAAGGGUGCCCCGCACCCUCUACGUGAUAAAACAAUUGAGUUUCUAGGCUUGAUCGAGUCGCUAAUUAGAAGGAGUUGGAGUCAUCUCAGGUCCAAGCUUACCAACAAGAUGGGACUAAAAGCAUAAAAAUGAAUCAAUAAUUAGAUCUAUCAUAUGAGAAGGAAAGUUGGGAGAUUUAUACUCACAAAAGUUUAGAAGAUAAGUAAGCUUUAUGGAUCUACAAUGCUCCUUUGCUUCUACACACCAAGAUGGAGCCUUCUUCUAUUAGCUUUAACCACCAAAAUGAUAAAAAUAAGUUCUCAAAGAGGAUUCUAAGCUCAAAUAUGGGAGAAGAUGACUAGGGUUUGCUGGAAACAUUCUCUAGGGUCGAUAGAGGCUGAGAAUGAUCUAACCCUAGAGACUUAAGUGUCCUUAAAUAACCUACAAA
RNAcentral lists this long non-coding RNA (9622 nucleotides) under Lactuca sativa (garden lettuce). Its description in RNAcentral is "long non-coding RNA (LSAT_LNC009683)". Lineage: Eukaryota; Viridiplantae; Streptophyta; Magnoliopsida; Asterales; Asteraceae. The record is from RNAcentral.